GCAGGGCGUGGUGGCGCGUGCCUGUAGUCCCAGCUACUCAGGAGGCUGAGGUGGGAGGAUCACUUGAGCACAGGAGUUCUGGGCUGUAGUGUGUUAUGCCAAUUGGGUGUCUGCAGUAAGUUCGACAUCAAUAUUGUGACCUCCCGGGAGCAAGGGACCACCAGGUUGCCUAAGGAGGGGUAAACCAGCCCAGGUUGGAAGCGGAGCAGGUCAAAACUCCAGUGCUGAUCAGUAGUGGGAUCACGCCUGUGAAUAGCCACUGCACUCUAGCCUGGGCAACAUAGCCAGACCCCUCCUCUU
Unclassified non-coding RNA from Callithrix jacchus (white-tufted-ear marmoset), 300 nucleotides. It matches the Rfam family "Metazoan signal recognition particle RNA". Rfam says of the family: The signal recognition particle (SRP) is a universally conserved ribonucleoprotein. NCBI's taxonomy places the organism in Eukaryota, Metazoa, Chordata, Mammalia, Primates, Cebidae. The record is from Ensembl.